Molecule: ribosomal RNA, 253 nt
Filed under: uncultured bacterium
Lineage: Bacteria
Description: partial 16S ribosomal RNA
Rfam family: Bacterial small subunit ribosomal RNA
Source: RNAcentral
UACGAAGGGUGCUAGCGUUGUUCGGAAUCACUGGGCGUAAAGCGCGCGUAGGCGGCGUUUCAAGUCAGGGGUGAAAUCCUUGGGCUCAACCCAAGAAUUGCCUUUGAAACUGUAACGCUGGAGUGUCGGAGGGGAUAGCGGAAUUGCUAAUGUAGAGGUGAAAUUCGUAGAUAUUAGCAGGAACACCGGUGGCGAAGGCGGCUAUCUGGACGACAACUGACGCUGAGGCGCGAAAGUGUGGGGAUCAAACAGG